AACGAACGCUGGCGGCAUGCCUAACACAUGCAAGUCGAACGAAGCCUUCGGGCUUAGUGGCGCACGGGUGCGUAACGCGUGGGAAUCUGCCCCUUGCUUCGGAAUAACAGGUAGAAAUGACUGCUAAUACCGGAUGAAGUCUUCGGACCAAAGAUUUAUCGGCAAGGGAUGAGCCCGCGUAGGAUUAGGUAGUUGGUGGGGUAAAGGCCUACCAAGCCGACGAUCCUUAGCUGGUCUGAGAGGAUGAUCAGCCACACUGGGACUGAGACACGGCCCAGACUCCUACGGGAGGCAGCAGUGGGGAAUAUUGGACAAUGGACGCAAGUCUGAUCCAGCAAUGCCGCGUGAGUGAUGAAGGCCUUAGGGUUGUAAAGCUCUUUUACCAGGGAUGAUAAUGACAGUACCUGGAGAAUAAGCUCCGGCUAACUCCGUG
Molecule: ribosomal RNA, 433 nt
Filed under: uncultured bacterium
Lineage: Bacteria
Description: partial 16S ribosomal RNA
Rfam family: Bacterial small subunit ribosomal RNA
Source: RNAcentral